RNAcentral lists this ribosomal RNA (249 nucleotides) under uncultured bacterium. Its description in RNAcentral is "partial 16S ribosomal RNA". It matches the Rfam family "Bacterial small subunit ribosomal RNA", at positions 524 to 769 of the family's 1533-position model. The record is from RNAcentral.
UACGUAGGGUGCAAGCGUUAAUCGGAAUUACUGGGCGUAAAGCGUGCGCAGGCGGUGAUGUAAGACAGGUGUGAAAUCCCCGGGCUCAACCUGGGAACUGCAUUUGUGACUGGCCAGCUAGAGUAUGGCAGAGGGGGGGUGGAAUUCCACGUGUAGCAGUGAAAUGCGUAGAUAUGCGGAGGAACACCGAUGGCGAAGGACAAUCCCCUGGGCCUGCACUGGACGCUCAUGCACGAAAGCGUGGGGAGC